Molecule: ribosomal RNA, 600 nt
Filed under: uncultured bacterium
Lineage: Bacteria
Description: bacterial SSU rRNA
Rfam family: Bacterial small subunit ribosomal RNA
Source: RNAcentral
AACUGACGCUGAGGCUCGAAAGCGUGGGGAGCGAACAGGAUUAGAUACCCUGGUAGUCCACGCCGUAAACGAUGAGUGCUAGGUGUAGGAGGUAUCGACCCCUUCUGUGCCGGAGUUAACGCAAUAAGCACUCCGCCUGGGGAGUACGGUCGCAAGACUGAAACUCAAAGGAAUUGACGGGGGCCCGCACAAGCGGUGGAGUAUGUGGUUUAAUUCGACGCAACGCGAAGAACCUUACCAGGGCUUGACAUCCUUCUGACCGGACAGUAACGUGUCCUUUCCUGCGGGACAGAAGAGACAGGUGGUGCAUGGUUGUCGUCAGCUCGUGUCGUGAGAUGUUGGGUUAAGUCCCGCAACGAGCGCAACCCCUACUUUCAGUAGCCAGCAUAUGAGAUGGGCACUCUGGAAGGACUGCCAGGGAUAACCUGGAGGAAGGCGGGGAUGACGUCAAGUCAUCAUGCCCCUUAUGUCCUGGGCUACACACGUACUACAAUGGGAUGGACAGAGAGCAGCGACCCCGCGAGGGCAAGCGAACCCCAUAAACCAUCUCCCAGUUCGGAUUGCAGGCUGCAACCCGCCUGCAUGAAGUCGGAAUCGCUA